UCCCCGUUUUCCGGGGCAGUUCCCCUAGAGUGCCCGGCAUAACCCGCUGGCAACUAAGGAUAAGGGUUGCGCUCGUUGCGGGACUUAACCCAACAUCUCACGACACGAGCUGACGACAGCCAUGCAGCACCUCGACUCAUGUACCCGAAGGUAAGCUCCUGUUUCCAGGAGUGUCAUGAGCCGUUCGAGCCCUGGUAAGGUUCUUCGCGUUGCGUCGAAUUGAACCACAUGCUCCACCGCUUGUGCGGGCCCCCGUCAAUUCCUUUGAGUUUCAGUCUUGCGACCGUACUCCCCAGGCGGGGCACUUAAUGUGUUAACUUCGGCACUGGAGGACUCAAUACCUCCAACACCCAGUGCCCAUCGUUUACGGCCAGGACUAC
Molecule: unclassified non-coding RNA, 380 nt
Filed under: uncultured Acidobacteriota bacterium
Lineage: Bacteria; Pseudomonadati; Acidobacteriota
Description: uncultured Acidobacteria bacterium contains 16S-23S intergenic spacer region
Source: RNAcentral